This 253-nucleotide ribosomal RNA is filed under the name uncultured bacterium. Its description in RNAcentral is "partial 16S ribosomal RNA". It matches the Rfam family "Bacterial small subunit ribosomal RNA", at positions 524 to 776 of the family's 1533-position model. The record is from RNAcentral.
GACGUAGGAUGCGAGCGUUGUCCGGAUUUAUUGGGCGUAAAGAGUUCGUAGGUGGCCUAUCAAGUCUGGUGUUAAAGCCCGGGGCUCAACUCCGGUUCGGCACUGGAUACUGGUAAGCUAGAGUACAGAAGAGGCAAGGGGAAUUCCUAGUGUAGCGGUGAAAUGCGUAGAUAUUAGGAGGAACACCGGUGGCGAAAGCGCCUUGCUGGGCUGUUACUGACGCUGAGGAACGAAAGCCGGGGGAGCAAACAGG